This 497-nucleotide ribosomal RNA is filed under the name uncultured bacterium. RNAcentral's name for it is "partial 16S ribosomal RNA". It matches the Rfam family "Bacterial small subunit ribosomal RNA", at positions 28 to 507 of the family's 1533-position model. The record is from RNAcentral.
GAUGAACGCUGGCGGCGUGCCUAAUACAUGCAAGUCGAGCGAACGGACGAGAAGCUUGCUUCUCUGAUGUUAGCGGCGGACGGGUGAGUAACACGUGGAUAACCUACCUAUAAGACUGGGAUAACUUCGGGAAACCGGAGCUAAUACCGGAUGAUAUUUUGAACCGCAUGGUUCAAAAGUGAAAGACGGUCUUGCUGUCACUUAUAGAUGGAUCCGCGCUGCAUUAGCUAGUUGGUAAGGUAACGGCUUACCAAGGCAACGAUGCAUAGCCGACCUGAGAGGGUGAUCGGCCACACUGGAACUGAGACACGGUCCAGACUCCUACGGGAGGCAGCAGUAGGGAAUCUUCCGCAAUGGGCGAAAGCCUGACGGAGCAACGCCGCGUGAGUAAUGAAGGUCCUCGGAUCGUAAAACUCUGUUAUUAGGGAAGAACAUAUGUGUAAGUAACUGUGCACAUCUUGACGGUACCUAAUCAGAAAGCCACGGCUAACUACGUG